AUUAGCUCAGCUGGUAGAGCAUCUGACUUUUAAUCAGAGGGUCGAAGGUUCGAAUCCUUCAUG
Molecule: transfer RNA, 63 nt
Filed under: Halobacillus locisalis
Lineage: Bacteria; Bacillati; Bacillota; Bacilli; Caryophanales; Bacillaceae
Also listed under: 2 other names
Rfam family: tRNA
About the family: Transfer RNA (tRNA) molecules are approximately 80 nucleotides in length.
Source: RNAcentral